Molecule: ribosomal RNA, 1389 nt
Filed under: Triticum aestivum (bread wheat)
Lineage: Eukaryota; Viridiplantae; Streptophyta; Magnoliopsida; Poales; Poaceae
Description: partial small subunit ribosomal RNA
Source: RNAcentral
AUGGGUGUACAGGAUCAAAAAAGGGCAGAUGGCUCCAUUGACAGGUAUAAGGCACGUCUAGUUGCAAAGGGCUUUAAGCAACGUUAUGGCAUUGACUAUGAGGACACGUUCAGUCCCGUUGUGAAAGCUGCAACUAUCAGACUUGUGCUAGCUAUUAUUGUGUCCAGAGGAUGGAGCCUAAGGCAGCUAGAUGUACAGAACGCGUUUCUGCAUGGUGUUCUGGAAGAGGAAGUGUUUAUGAGACAGCCACCUGGGUAUGAGAGUAAGAAAUUACCACAUUAUGUUUGCAAGCUUGAUAAAGCACUUUAUGGUUUAAAGCAAGCACCCAGAGCAUGGUAUUCCAGACUAAGCUUACAAUUGAAAUAUCUUGGCUUUAUUGCUUCCAAGGCUGAUACGUCCUUGUUUAUUUAUAACAAGGCAGGAGUGGUCAUUUUUGUACUCAUAUAUGUGGAUGAUAUCAUAGUUGCAAGUUCCUCACAAAAUGCCACUAUUGCUUUUUUUCAUGAUUUGGGCUCAGAGUUUGCCUUGAAAGAUCUAGGUGAUUUACAUUUCUUUCUAGGCAUUGAAAUCAAGAAGACUCAAGAUGGCAUUGUGCUAAGUCAGGAAAAAUAUGUCAAUGAGCUUCUGUCUCGGAUGGGAAUGAAGAAUUGCAAGCCAGUUCUUACACCUUUAUCUUCCUCAGAAAAAUUCUCUGCAUAUGAAGGUGAGCCACUUCAAGAGGAGGAAAGCACAAGGUAUAGAAGUACUGUGGGAGCAUUGCAAUAUUUAACUCUCACACGUCCAGAUAUUUCAUUUGCUGUCAACAAAGUUUGUCAAUACCUUCAUGCACCUACUUCUGCACAUUGGGCAGUUGUCAAGAGAACUGUGAGAUAUGUGAAGCACACUGUGGGAAUAGGACUUAACUUCAGAAGGUCUAAUUCCUCUCUUGUUAGUGCAUUCUCUGAUGCUGACUGGGCAGCAUGUAGUGAUGACAGGAGAUCAACUGGAGGUUUUGCAGUGUUCUUUGGAUCCAAUCUUAUCUCCUGGAGUGCUAGAAAGCAAGCCACUGUGUCACGUUCAAGCACAGAAGCAGAGUACAAGUCCUUGGCGAAUGCAACUGCUGAAAUUAUAUGGGUUGAGUCACUUCUUGAUGAGUUGGGAGUUAAGAAAAAUCGUAUCUCGUGCUUAUGGUGUGAUAAUUUGGGAGCAACAUAUUUGUCUGCAAAUCCAGUGUUUCAUGCAAGGACAAAACACAUAGAGAUUGAUUUUCACUUUGUGCGAGAAAGAGUUGCAGCAAAGAAACUUGAGAUACAGUUUAUUCCUUCCAAGGACCAAAUAGCAGAUGGCUUCACAAAGGCACUUUUAGCAAGGCCAUUCGAAGAGUUCAAGAGUAAUCUUAAUUUAGGAUAG